GUGCGCUCUGACUCCUGAUUUGCGUUCCGGCCUCCGGCGUUUCCGCGUGCGUAGCGGGAGACGGAGCCCGUGGGGCAACCUGGCGCUGGUCCUACCGGGAGCGCUUCCGGCCACGCAGGCGCAGGAGCCCGCGUGCCUGGCAGGAGGAGAGGACCGCAGGGAAGAAAAGAGAUCCUGUUUGCUGCGGGGAAUGGAUUGGAAAAGAGAAAGCAGUGUUAGAGCCCGUGGGAGAGUGUUGCAGAAGCGCAGGUCAGCUUCUAAGAAUCAGACACUGAGGGAAGACGCUCCGGAGACUGUGAGGCCGGAGUGGUGAAUGUUGUCGUCGCAUCCACCGGAGUCCUGGGAGACGCCUGGAAGGAGGGCGCUGUAGAGAAAGAUGCGGGCCCGGGAUCUCGAGGACGAGGCAGAGCGCUUUCAAACCAGCGCACAGGGCCAGCCGGAGCCUUGACCGACCCAGGAGUCUGGCCAGAAACCUGAGCGGGAAGGAAGGCCCUCCCGGCAGGUAUCGGGCACGCGACCCGUGGCUGCUUCUCUCAAACCCAGAUGCUCACGGCAGCCCUGGCCCCUCCGUCCUUCCUGAGACCGGCUGGGCUGUGACCGCACCUCGUGUCUCCGUCUGAGGGGCCUCCGUCUGAGG
RNAcentral lists this long non-coding RNA (637 nucleotides) under Bos mutus (wild yak). Its description in RNAcentral is "lncRNA (ENSBMUG00000020715.1)". The record is from RNAcentral. Lineage: Eukaryota; Metazoa; Chordata; Mammalia; Artiodactyla; Bovidae.